UUUUUAAAACAUAAGCACAGUGCAGCCAAGUAUCGAGUUGUCCUCAGCAAACAGCAGUAAGCACACAAUGUUUUUAAAAUCUCAAAAUGAAGAAAAGAAAAUGGAAAUCAGCACGUGCUCUGCUGAAGGCACCCCCUCUCCGGUCAAGAACUAAAAUUAAAUUGAACAUCUUGGCAGAAAAUAAACAUUUGCGUUGGAAAAUGGCUAAUUUAUGUCCUAUUGCCCUGUUACUGCAACCAUAACAAACCUCUCUUUGUGUAACUUCUGCCUCCGACCUAAUAAACCGUUUCUAAAUAGCCUUCAUUCAUCGGGAAGUGCUCCACCUACAUUUGUGCUAAACACUGCUUGGAAAUGCAUAGCGCUCAGAUUUUCCACACUCGGGUACCCCCGGGUGGGAGCUGCCGGGCAACACAGCCUCACACUGUUGACUGUGGUGUCACAGGUGGCCCAAAGCACAGACACAACCUGAAAGCUGCAAGUUUUUAACAUAUGAGCAAAACUCCCCGGCCAGCCUUGUAUACAUAGGAAUGUGCACCCGGGCCCAGCUAUUUAUACAAUCACACCCAGCUAGGAGGCUGGCGAGGGUCAAGAGAAACAUACCUUCCUUUCUCAAAAUCCUGUAGGUAAAGAAACCACUCUUUGUGUUUUCUUUGGUACCUCACCCAAAAAAAUGUCCA
This 677-nucleotide long non-coding RNA is filed under the name Rattus norvegicus (Norway rat). RNAcentral describes it as "long non-coding RNA NONRATT001263". Lineage: Eukaryota; Metazoa; Chordata; Mammalia; Rodentia; Muridae. The record is from RNAcentral.